This 318-nucleotide ribosomal RNA is filed under the name uncultured eukaryote. Its description in RNAcentral is "partial 18S ribosomal RNA". It matches the Rfam family "Eukaryotic small subunit ribosomal RNA", at positions 1470 to 1796 of the family's 1831-position model. The record is from RNAcentral.
CCCUUAGAUGUUCUGGGCCGCACGCGUGCUACACUGACCGGCGCAACAAGUUUCUUUCCUUGGCUCGAUAGGCCUGGGUAAUCUUUGAACGCCGGUCGUGAUGGGGAUAGAUCCUUGCAAUUUUUGAUCUUCAACGAGGAAUUCCUAGUAAAUGCGAGUCAUCAUCUCGCGUUGAUUACGUCCCUGCCCUUUGUACACACCGCCCGUCGCACCUACCGAUUGAAUGGUCCGGUGAAGCCUCCGGAUUGGCGUGCACCCUCGGGUGCUGCCGAGAAGUUGGCUAAACCUUACCAUUUAGAGGAAGGUGAAGUCGUAACA